This 253-nucleotide unclassified non-coding RNA is filed under the name uncultured Thermoanaerobacterales bacterium. RNAcentral's name for it is "contains 16S-23S intergenic spacer region". It matches the Rfam family "Bacterial small subunit ribosomal RNA", at positions 524 to 776 of the family's 1533-position model. The record is from RNAcentral. Lineage: Bacteria; Bacillati; Bacillota; Clostridia; Thermoanaerobacterales.
UACGUAGGGAGCAAGCGUUAUCCGGAAUCACUGGGCGUACAGGGUGCGUAGGCGGGCUUGCAGGUCCGAUGUGAAAGCCCCGGGCUCAACCCGGGAAUUGCAUUGGAAACCGCAAGUCUUGAGGACCAGAGAGGGAGACACAAUUCGCAGUGUAGCGGUGAAAUGCGUAGAUAUUGCGAGGAAUACCAGUGGCGUAGGCGGUCUCCUGGAUGGUUUCUGACGCUGAGGCACGAAAGCGUGGGUAGCAAACGGG